UCCUACGGGAGGCAGCAGUAGGGAAUCUUGCGCAAUGGGCGAAAGCCUGACGCAGCAAUGCCGCGUGCGGGACGAAGGCCCUAGGGUCGUAAACCGCUUUCAGUAGGGACGAAAAUGACGGUACCUGCAGAAGAAGCUCCGGCCAACUACGUGCCAGCAGCCGCGGUGAUACGUAGGGAGCAAGCGUUGUCCGGAAUUACUGGGCGUAAAGGGCUCGUAGGUGGUUGAGUAAGCCUGCAUUUGAUACUGCUCUGACUAGAGUCCGGUAGGGGAGUGCGGAACUCCUGGUGUAGCGGUGAAAUGCGCAGAUAUCAGGAAGAACACCGACAGCGAAGGCAGCACUCUGGGCCGGUACUGACACUGAGGAGCGAAAGCAUGGGUAGCAAACAGGAUUAGAUACCCUGGUAGUCCAUGCCGUAAACGUUGGGCACUAGGUGUGGGGAGAACUCAACUCUCUCCGCGCCGUAGCUAACGCAUUAAGUGCCCCGCCUGGGGAGUACGGCCGCAAGGCUAAAACUCAAAGGAAUUGACGG
This 533-nucleotide ribosomal RNA is filed under the name Candidatus Neomicrothrix parvicella. RNAcentral describes it as "bacterial SSU rRNA". It matches the Rfam family "Bacterial small subunit ribosomal RNA", at positions 337 to 916 of the family's 1533-position model. Lineage: Bacteria; Bacillati; Actinomycetota; Acidimicrobiia; Acidimicrobiales; Microthrixaceae. The record is from RNAcentral.